UGACAGCGUCCAAGCUGCAUGUAUCAGCUACGGUUAUUAAUUUUCCUUCAUCAAUAUCAGAUGCCAAACGCUGCUGUCGGGCCUCGGCUUCCUCCUGUCGUCGCCAUGCUGCCUCCAGCGCGCCUCGGCGGUCUAUGUGCAAAGCCAUGGCACGAACAACAGGACGUCGGGAGCAAUACACGAAUUUUCCUGGAAACAUAGCGUGCGCUUUGCCGGUCUGCACGUUCCGAUAGGGGCAUCUAAACCCUAAGACCGACAUCGCAGUUGGCCGUUUUCGGAAUAUUAAUGGUAAGGUUGUAUCCUUCCAACCUGGUGCUUCGACUUAACAGUUUUGUAGAGGCACCUUGGAGAAGCGAAGCCUUUUGACGUGGUUUGCUUCUCGGCGGGUAAUUUUCAACGUUAAUGCUAUGAGCUUUACUAUACAAUGUCUAAAACAU
RNAcentral lists this long non-coding RNA (437 nucleotides) under Volvox carteri. RNAcentral describes it as "long non-coding RNA (VCAR_LNC004397)". Lineage: Eukaryota; Viridiplantae; Chlorophyta; Chlorophyceae; Chlamydomonadales; Volvocaceae. The record is from RNAcentral.